This is a non-coding RNA of Vicia faba (fava bean), 252 nucleotides long. NCBI's taxonomy places the organism in Eukaryota, Viridiplantae, Streptophyta, Magnoliopsida, Fabales, Fabaceae. The record is from the annotation of a GenBank genome assembly.
AUGUUCCAUUCCGGUCAGCGCCACUGCCACCUCAUUCCACCGACGAUCUCAACACCAUCACCUUCCUUCCGACUUCUCGCGGUUUGUGAGCAUCAUCACCGCCACGGCAAGCUGUUCGUUGUGUUUUCUUCUCCCGCCAACUCUGACUCAGCGAUGUUCCAACGAUGCUCCUCCCUCUCUUCUGAUAGCGCUCCGGCCAAUACCAUCUCCUUUUGGCUUCACCUUGAUUCCAGUAAAGACAAUAAGGCUUAG